This 396-nucleotide ribosomal RNA is filed under the name Bacillus velezensis. RNAcentral's name for it is "bacterial SSU rRNA". It matches the Rfam family "Bacterial small subunit ribosomal RNA", at positions 72 to 460 of the family's 1533-position model. Lineage: Bacteria; Bacillati; Bacillota; Bacilli; Caryophanales; Bacillaceae. The record is from RNAcentral.
AUGGGAGCUUGCUCCCUGAUGUUAGCGGCGGACGGGUGAGUAACACGUGGGUAACCUGCCUGUAAGACUGGGAUAACUCCGGGAAACCGGGGCUAAUACCGGAUGGUUGUCUGAACCGCAUGGUUCAGACAUAAAAGGUGGCUUCGGCUACCACUUACAGAUGGACCCGCGGCGCAUUAGCUAGUUGGUGAGGUAACGGCUCACCAAGGCGACGAUGCGUAGCCGACCUGAGAGGGUGAUCGGCCACACUGGGACUGAGACACGGCCCAGACUCCUACGGGAGGCAGCAGUAGGGAAUCUUCCGCAAUGGACGAAAGUCUGACGGAGCAACGCCGCGUGAGUGAUGAAGGUUUUCGGAUCGUAAAGCUCUGUUGUUAGGGAAGAAUAAGUGCCGUU